This 79-nucleotide transfer RNA is filed under the name Podarcis lilfordi (Lilford's wall lizard). RNAcentral's name for it is "tRNA.Lys". The record is from RNAcentral. Lineage: Eukaryota; Metazoa; Chordata; Lepidosauria; Squamata; Lacertidae.
CAGAUAGCUCAGUUGGUAGAGCACGAGACUCUUAAUCUCAGGGUCAUGGGUUUGAGCAAAAGAUUCCUGCAUUGCAGGG